GAUCAUGGCUCAGGAUGAACGCUGGCGGCGUGCUUAACACAUGCAAGUCGAACGAGAAUCACAUGAAGGAGUUUUCGAACAACAGAUUGUGAGGAAAGUGGCGGACGGGUGAGUAACGCGUGAGCAAUCUGCCUUGGAGUGGGGAAUAACAGCUGGAAACAGCUGCUAAUACCGCAUGAUGCAAGUGUCUCGCAUGGGACUGCUUGCCAAAGAUUUA
This 217-nucleotide ribosomal RNA is filed under the name uncultured bacterium. RNAcentral describes it as "partial 16S ribosomal RNA". It matches the Rfam family "Bacterial small subunit ribosomal RNA", at positions 15 to 211 of the family's 1533-position model. The record is from RNAcentral.